AAGUGAAUAGGUGAUGGUGUUCGCCUUUAAACGUUAUUCUUUAGAUAACUAAUGACGCCUACUAAAAA
Enterococcus villorum ATCC 700913 is the source of this 68-nucleotide non-coding RNA. The record is from Rfam. Lineage: Bacteria; Bacillati; Bacillota; Bacilli; Lactobacillales; Enterococcaceae.